AUCUUACUCUCUCCGUCCGGAAAUACUUGUCAUCAAAAUGGAUAAAAGGAGAUGUAUCUAGACGUAUUUUAGUUCUAGAUGCUUAUCUUUUUAUCCAUUUUGAUGACAAGUAUUCUCGGACGGAGGGAGUACUAG
Molecule: non-coding RNA, 135 nt
Organism: Triticum aestivum (bread wheat)
Lineage: Eukaryota; Viridiplantae; Streptophyta; Magnoliopsida; Poales; Poaceae
Source: Rfam